This is a long non-coding RNA of Erinaceus europaeus (western European hedgehog), 1024 nucleotides long. RefSeq lists it as uncharacterized. The transcript has 3 exons. The record is from RefSeq and is a predicted model, not a curated record. Lineage: Eukaryota; Metazoa; Chordata; Mammalia; Eulipotyphla; Erinaceidae.
GCUUCACCACCUGUGAAGCGACCCCCCUGUAGGUCGGGAACUGGGGGCUCGAACUGAGAUCCUUGCAUGAUCCUCCACAGCUCCUUACAUUCCAGCCCUCACAGCCCCCCAGUAAGAACCGUCUGUGUGUGUGUGUGUGUAUGUUUGUGUGUGCAGUGGGUGAGCUGUGUCUGCUAGAGUCUGUGCAUGUGCAUAGCUGGAGAGAGGGCCUAGGGUCUGUGCAUGUGCAGAGCUGGAGAGAGGGCCUAGGGCCUGCGCAUGUGCACAGCUGGAGAGUGGGCCUAGGGUCUGCGCAUGUGCAGAGCUGGAGAGUGGGCUUAGGGUCUGCGCAUGUGCACAGCUGGAGAGUGGGCCUAGGGUCUGCACAUGUGCAGAGCUGGAGAGAGGGCCUAGGGUCUGCGCAUGUGCACAGCUGGAGAGUGGGCCUAGGGUCUGCGCAUGUGCACAGCUGGAGAGUGGGCCUAGGGUCUGCGCAUGUGCACAGCUGGAGAGUGGGCCUAGGGUCUGCGCAUGUGCACAGCUGGAGAGUGGGCCUAGGGUCUGCGCAUGUGCACAGCUGGAGAGCAUUCUCCCAGCCUCAUUUUUUCUUUUUCUUUUUUAUUCCUUAUUGAGAGGACAGACACCCCUCCACACCCCUCCACCAGCCAGAGUUCCCCUGAUCCACCCAUGGUCCUCCCAUAGGGUGCUGGGGUUCGGGCCCAGGCCUCUAGCACGCAAGGCGCGCGUGCUGUCCAGUGAGCGGACGCCCGAGUCCUCUAUUCACUCCACUUAGCCUGGCGCCGGGCAGAGAGCUGCCUCCUCUGGUGUGAGCUGGCAGGAAAGGUCUCUCCCCAUCCGACUACGCGCUUCUCUCCUGGCUGCUGUGGCUUCUGGGCUUCCCUCCAAACAGCCUCAAGCCCAAGGCAGAAGACCUAUCUGCAUUUGAGCCCUCACACCCCUCAGCCGCAGGGACCAGAGCCAGCCCCCAGAACACUACAGCAGCCACCGGCAAGGGCACCUGCUCAUUUGCGGACAGGGGCUCCCC